RNAcentral lists this ribosomal RNA (1067 nucleotides) under Salmonella enterica. Its description in RNAcentral is "partial 23S ribosomal RNA". It matches the Rfam family "Bacterial large subunit ribosomal RNA", at positions 1154 to 2179 of the family's 2925-position model. Lineage: Bacteria; Pseudomonadati; Pseudomonadota; Gammaproteobacteria; Enterobacterales; Enterobacteriaceae. The record is from RNAcentral.
CGUAUCACCCAAGACAACUUUACGGAGUUGACGAUUGACGGAGCGAAGCGACGUCAAAGCGUUCAUUAAAGUCGAGUUGGCUUAGGGAUACGUUCGUUGGGUAGGGGAGCGUUCUGUAAGCCUGUGAAGGUGGCCUGUGAGGGUUGCUGGAGGUAUCAGAAGUGCGAAUGCUGACAUAAGUAACGAUAAAGCGGGUGAAAAGCCCGCUCGCUGGAAGACCAAGGGUUCCUGUCCAACGUUAAUCGGGGCAGGGUGAGUCGACCCCUAAGGCGAGGCCGAAAGGCGUAGUCGAUGGGAAACGGGUUAAUAUUCCCGUACUUGGUGUUACUGCGAAGGGGGGACGGAGAAGGCUAUGUUGGCCGGGCGACGGUUGUCCCGGUUUAAGCGUGUAGGCUGGUUUUCCAGGCAAAUCCGGAAAAUCAAGGCUGAGGCGUGACGACGAGGCACUACGGUGCUGAAGCAACAAAUGCCCUGCUUCCAGGAAAAGCCUCUAAGCAUCAGGUAACAUCAAAUCGUACCCCAAACCGACACAGGUGGUCGGGUAGAGAAUACCAAGGCGCUUGAGAGAACUCGGGUGAAGGAACUAGGCAAAAUGGUGCCGUAACUUCGGGAGAAGGCACGCUGACACGUAGGUGAAGUGAUUUACUCAUGGAGCUGAAGUCAGUCGAAGAUACCAGCUGGCUGCAACUGUUUAUUAAAAACACAGCACUGUGCAAACACGUAAGUGGACGUAUACGGUGUGACGCCUGCCCGGUGCCGGAAGGUUAAUUGAUGGGGUCAGCGCAAGCGAAGCUCCUGAUAGAAGCCCCGGUAAACGGCGGCCGUAACUAUAACGGUCCUAAGGUAGCGAAAUUCCUUGUCGGGUAAGUUCCGACCUGCACGAAUGGCGUAAUGAUGGCCAGGCUGUCUCCACCCGAGACUCAGUGAAAUUGAACUCGCUGUGAAGAUGCAGUGUACCCGCGGCAAGACGGAAAGACCCCGUGAACCUUUACUAUAGCUUGACACUGAACAUUGAGCCUUGAUGUGUAGGAUAGGUGGGAGGCUUUGAAGCGUGGACGCCAGUCUGC